CGGGGGGCAGCAGUGGGGAAUUUUGGACAAUGGGGGAAACCCUGAUCCAGCCAUCCCGCGUGUGCGAUGAAGGCCUUCGGGUUGUAAAGCACUUUUGGCAGGAAAGAAACGUCAUGGGUUAAUACCCCGUGAAACUGACGGUACCUGCAGAAUAAGCACCGGCUAACUACGUGCCAGCAGCCGCGGUAAUACGUAGGGUGCAAGCGUUAAUCGGAAUUACUGGGCGUAAAGCGUGCGCAGGCGGUUCGGAAAGAAAGAUGUGAAAUCCCAGAGCUUAACUUUGGAACUGCAUUUUUAACUACCGAGCUAGAGUGUGUCAGAGGGAGGUGGAAUUCCGCGUGUAGCAGUGAAAUGCGUAGAUAUGCGGAGGAACACCGAUGGCGAAGGCAGCCUCCUGGGAUAACACUGACGCUCAUGCACGAAAGCGUGGGGAGCAAACAGGAUUAGAUACCCGAGU
This 457-nucleotide ribosomal RNA is filed under the name uncultured Achromobacter sp. Its description in RNAcentral is "bacterial SSU rRNA". It matches the Rfam family "Bacterial small subunit ribosomal RNA", at positions 342 to 791 of the family's 1533-position model. The record is from RNAcentral. Lineage: Bacteria; Pseudomonadati; Pseudomonadota; Betaproteobacteria; Burkholderiales; Alcaligenaceae.